RNAcentral lists this transfer RNA (72 nucleotides) under Ictidomys tridecemlineatus (thirteen-lined ground squirrel). RNAcentral's name for it is "Spermophilus tridecemlineatus (thirteen-lined ground squirrel) tRNA". It matches the Rfam family "tRNA". From Rfam's summary of the family: Transfer RNA (tRNA) molecules are approximately 80 nucleotides in length. Lineage: Eukaryota; Metazoa; Chordata; Mammalia; Rodentia; Sciuridae. The record is from Rfam by way of RNAcentral.
GGGGCUGUAGCUCAAUGGUAGAGCACUUGCCUAGCAUGCAUGAGAGCCUGACUUCAAUCCCCAGCGGUGCAG